Molecule: ribosomal RNA, 305 nt
Filed under: uncultured bacterium
Lineage: Bacteria
Description: bacterial SSU rRNA
Rfam family: Bacterial small subunit ribosomal RNA
Source: RNAcentral
GUCCUACGGGAGGCAGCAGUGAGGAAUAUUGGUCAAUGGGCGGGAGCCUGAACCAGCCAAGUCGCGUGAGGGAAGACGGUCCUAUGGAUUGUAAACCUCUUUAGGCGGGGAGCAAUGCCGGGCACGCGUGCCCGGAGGGAGAGUACCCGCAGAAUAAGCAUCGGCUAACUCCGUGCCAGCAGCCGCGGUAAUACGGAGGAUGCGAGCGUUAUCCGGAUUUAUUGUGUUUAAAGGGUGCGCAGGCGGAGGUGCAAGUCAGCGGUCAAAUUGCGGGGCUCAACCCCGCACUGCCGUUGAAACUGCCU